GAUGAACGCUGGCGGCGUGCUUAACACAUGCAAGUCGAACGAUUGAAGCUGGAGCUUGCUCCGGCCGAUUUAGUGGCGGACGGGUGAGUAACGCGUGGGUAACCUGCCUCAUACAGGGGGAUAGCAGUUGGAAACGACUGGUAAAACCGCAUAAGCGCACGGUGUCGCAUGACACAGUGUGAAAACACUCCGGUGGUAUGAGAUGGACCCGCGUCUGAUUAGCUAGUUGGUGAGGUAACGGCCCACCAAGGCGACGAUCAGUAGCCGGCCUGAGAGGGUGAACGGCCACAUUGGGACUGAGACACGGCCCAAACUCCUACGGGAGGCAGCAGUGGGAA
Molecule: ribosomal RNA, 338 nt
Filed under: uncultured bacterium
Lineage: Bacteria
Description: bacterial SSU rRNA
Rfam family: Bacterial small subunit ribosomal RNA
Source: RNAcentral